CACUCCAGCUGAAGAUCCCUAAAGCUCAGUAGCUCCUCCACUCCAGCUGAAGAUCCCUAAAGCUCAGUAGCUCCUCCACUCCAGCUGAAGAUCCCUAAAGCUCAGUAUGUCCUCCACUCCAGCUGAAGAUCACUAAAGCUCAGCAUCACCUCUACUCCAGCUGAAGAUCACUUCUCUCAUUGCCUCUUUAAUGUCUGCUUCACAACAUUUUUCACAAGUUAGUUGUGUGAUGCGCUGUCUUCCUCACAAGAACCUUAUCUCCAGUGACAGCAGGGAAUGAGGGUUGGGACGAGACCUGCAGAGCAUAUGCUCUGGGUAUUUGGUGGCCCUUCUGGUGAGCACUGGCAUUCCUUGAGGUCAACCUGUGCUGAAGACAGGAAGAUUUUACCCAAGUACAUAACUAAGAGAAGAUCACUCGCAGAAGAUUUCUUCCCCAAAAGCAAUAAUGUGAAGGACACUUGUACCCAGACAGUGAGGGCCACUGCCUCCUGCUAUGCUUUUAGCUCCCCCCAUAGCUGAGCCCUCCUGACCGGAAAACCUGACGGGACCACUUUUUUCAUCCCUCAGUCUCCCAGAGGUCCCAUAAAACUGAACCAGGCUUGAUGCUGACACUGGACCAGGGCAAUGUAGGCCCACUGGAGCCGGGGGAGAGUGUGACAGAGAGUGUCAAAGUCAAAAUAAAAAUAUAAAGACAAAUCUCUAA
Non-coding RNA from Chlorocebus sabaeus (green monkey), 703 nucleotides. NCBI's taxonomy places the organism in Eukaryota, Metazoa, Chordata, Mammalia, Primates, Cercopithecidae. The record is from RefSeq and is a predicted model, not a curated record.